Panicum virgatum (switchgrass) is the source of this 2071-nucleotide long non-coding RNA. RefSeq lists it as uncharacterized. The record is from RefSeq and is a predicted model, not a curated record. The transcript is spliced from 5 exons. NCBI's taxonomy places the organism in Eukaryota, Viridiplantae, Streptophyta, Magnoliopsida, Poales, Poaceae.
AUGUGGGGCCGCCGGGCCCGCGUGCAGGAGCAAUAGCCGGCGGCCUCCAACAGCCAGGCGAGAGGUUAGGCAUGGGGACAUGCAGAUUAGCUAGAAUCAAGGGAGGUUUGUUCCCUGGUGAUCAGGCCUGCGCGCCUAUUUAGUGGAUGUAAUCGACACUCUUGGAUCUUAAGCAAUGAACACUUAUCCCUAACCUCCCUCUCUUCUCUUAAUCUCAUCCCCUUCACCAUUGAGCAGUUAGGCAAAAACCCUAAGGCUCCUAUCCGCCGCGACUACGAACUACGUAGUCGAGGUCCCGCUGUCUUGGGCGUCGACGCCCUUGACAUGUUAUUGGAUGCUACUGCUGUUUUAAACCUGAACCAUGCAUCAACCAUUCAAGAAUGAUACCUAUCAAGGGUAGAAGCACAGUCCUACUACUAAAAGCAAUUCUAUUUGAUAGAUUAAAUACGCAAUGCAGUUUUUGUAGUAUGACUUGUGCUAUAUAAUUGCAAAAAUUAGUUGAGUUAGCAGUUACCUAGCAUUUGAAUAUAUGGUUUUUGUAGGCAUGCUUAGUUGAAGAAUUAAUUUCAUAUUGCACUUAGGAGAAAGGAUGUUAUGUUUGCUUAUCUAUGUUUAGCUCUUGGGUGGUUGAUGCAGGUGCCCCCUAUGAAUCAACUGUUAUUUUACUACCUGACAGCUGUCAAGAAAGCUAUUUCUUGUGUUGUACCUUUCAUUAAAUCUGUGAGAAUUCAAAAUGUUACAUCUUGUGUUUCAUAUAUUGAUAAAUGCCAUAAAUUCUGAUGACCACAAAUGAAUUCUAGAUACUGGUGGUUUCUAUAUCAGGGCAUGAUUCUUCUAUCCCGCCGUUAUCUUCACAAAGCGGUGUGUCUCGAUACUCUUCAUAUGGUGGAUAUCAGGAUACAAGCAAAAAGAUUGAAAUACCAAAUGGAAGGGUUGGUGUUAUUAUUGGAAAAAUUGGGGAAACUAUCAGGUAUCUCCAACUUCAAUCAGGAGCAAAGAUUCAAGUAACAAGAGACAACAAAGCUGAACCAGGUGCACAGACAAGACCAGUUGAGCUUUCAGGCACUCCUGAGCAGGCAAGCAAAGCUGGGCAGCUGAUCAAAGAAGUUCUGGCAGAGGCUGAUGCUGGGUCAUCUGGUAUUGGAUCAGGUGGCCGGAAAUAUAAUGCACCACAGCCAGGUGCCGACACAUUCCAGAUGAAAAUUGCUGAUAACAAGGCGGGUCUGGUUAUUGGUAAGAGUGGUGAGACUAUAAAGUCCAUGCAAGCCAAAUCUGGAGCUCGCAUUCAGGUUAUUCCUUUGCAUCUGCCCGUUGGUGAUACUUCAACUGAAAGAACUGUGCAUAUUGAUGGCACACAGGAACAAAUUGAAAUUGCAAAGCAGCUGGUGAUUGAGGUUACCAGUCCGUUUUCUUUCUCGUGAUAUCCAUGAUUGCUUUGUCAUAUUUGGUUAUCUGCCUUACUUUAGUCUUGCUUCUGGUUCAUUUUUUUAGUGUUGGUUUUAUGAUUUCCCCUGGGGUUCUUUUGAAAAUAUUGUUCUGUUUGCUUCUUUUUUGCUCUACAUUGAUUACACUGCUGUGCUAACCCAUGUCUGAAGCAUAUUGGCCAUGGGUACAGCCUCGGCAUGGCUAUGGCAUGGAAGGAGAUUUUCAUAUGCCUUUCCUGUUUCUGAACAUAACUUAAUAUCAAUAUGUACUGCUGAAUAGAGCAUGGCAUUUUGACUGAACAUGGUUAUGAAUUAUAUGAGCUGACAUGCUGUAUCGGGUAUUUGUACCGUUUAAAAUUUGUCAUAUGCUCCUGUACCUCUGGAUACAAUGGAUACAUUGCUUUACUCAGGGCUUGUUUGGAAGGAAGAAUUGCUUUAGACAGGCCAGGUCCUCAGGUGUUCAGUUUGUAAUAGCGGGCUUGCACUCCAGUUUAGAUCCUUUAUACUAGCCAAAUACAUAAAGUGUGUAGGGCAUCUUGACGCUUAUUCUGAAAUGAUAUAUUGUCCUCGGUAUGGCAGGUUUAGUCGCAUUACAUCUGUAUCGUUGGAACCAAACCUGUUAUACUAAGAUCAACAUCAUGGUUUUC